This 693-nucleotide ribosomal RNA is filed under the name uncultured Pseudomonadota bacterium. RNAcentral describes it as "bacterial SSU rRNA". It matches the Rfam family "Bacterial small subunit ribosomal RNA", at positions 40 to 778 of the family's 1533-position model. Lineage: Bacteria; Pseudomonadati; Pseudomonadota. The record is from RNAcentral.
CGGCACGCCUAACACAUGCAAGUCGAACGAAGUAGCAAUACUUAGUGGCAGACGGGUGAGUAACAUGUGGGUAUCUGCCCUUUGGCCUGGAAUAACACGAGGAAACUUGUGCUAAUACCGGAUAAGUCUUUACGGAGAAAGCUUUAUGCACCAUUGGAUGAGCCCGCACUUGAUUAGUUUGUUGGUGGGGUAAUGGCCUACCAAGACUGUGAUCAAUAGCUGAUUUGAGAGGAUGAUCAGCCACAUUGGGACUGAGACACGGCCCAAACUCCUACGGGAGGCAGCAGUGGGGAAUCUUGCACAAUGGAGGAAACUCUGAUGCAGCGAUGCCGCGUGAGUGAAGAAGGCCCUUGGGUUGUAAAGCUCUUUCGUCGGGGAAGAAAAUGACUGUACCCGAAUAAGAAGGUCCGGCUAACUUCGUGCCAGCAGCCGCGGUAAUACGAAGGGACCUAGCGUAGUUCGGAAUUACUGGGCUUAAAGAGUUCGUAGGUGGUUGAAAAAGUUAGUGGUGAAAUCCCAGAGCUUAACUCUGGAACUGCCAUUAAAACUUUUCAGCUAGAGUAUGAUAGAGGAAAGCAGAAUUUCUAGUGUAGAGGUGAAAUUCGUAGAUAUUAGAAAGAAUACCAAUUGCGAAGGCAGCUUUCUGGAUCAUUACUGACACUGAGGAACGAAAGCAUGGGUAGCGAAGAGGAU